GAUGAACGCUGGCGGCGUGCCUAAUACAUGCAAGUCGAGCGAACGGACGCGAAGCUUGCUUCUCUGAUGUUUGCGGCGGACGGGUGAGUCACACGUGUAUAACCUACCUAUAAGACUGGGAUAACUUCGGGAAACCGGCGCUAACACCGGAUAAUAUUUUGAACCGCAGGGUUCAAAAGUGAAAGGCGGUCUUGCUGUCACUUAUAGAUGGAUCCGCGCUGCAUUAGCUAGUUGGUAAGGUAACGGCUUACCAAGGCAACGAUGCAUAGCCGACCUGAGAGGGUGAUCGGCCACACGGGAACUUAGACACGGUCCAGACUCCUACGGGAGGCCGCAGUAGGGAAUCGUCCGCAAUGGGCGAAAGCCUGACGGAGCAACGCCGCGUGAGUGAUGAAGGUCUUCGGAUCGUAAAACUGUGUUAUUAGGGAAGACCAUAUGUGUAAGUAACUGUGCACAUCGUGACGGUACCUAAUCAGAAAGCCACGGCUAACUACGUG
This 497-nucleotide ribosomal RNA is filed under the name uncultured bacterium. Its description in RNAcentral is "partial 16S ribosomal RNA". It matches the Rfam family "Bacterial small subunit ribosomal RNA", at positions 28 to 507 of the family's 1533-position model. The record is from RNAcentral.